UGGGGAAUAUUGGACAAUGGGCGAAAGCCUGAUCCAGCCAUGCCGCGUGUGUGAAGAAGGUCUUCGGAUUGUAAAGCACUUUAAGUUGGGAGGAAGGGCAUUAACCUAAUACGUUAGUGUUUUGACGUUACCGACAGAAUAAGCACCGGCUAACUCUGUGCCAGCAGCCGCGGUAAUACAGAGGGUGCAAGCGUUAAUCGGAAUUACUGGGCGUAAAGCGCGCGUAGGUGGUUUGUUAAGUUGGAUGUGAAAGCCCCGGGCUCAACCUGGGAACUGCAUCCAAAACUGGCAAGCUAGAGUACGGUAGAGGGUGGUGGAAUUUCCUGUGUAGCGGUGAAAUGCGUAGAUAUAGGAAGGAACACCAGUGGCGAAGGCGACCACCUGGACUGAUACUGACACUGAGGAGCGAAAGCGUGGGGAGCAAACA
RNAcentral lists this ribosomal RNA (427 nucleotides) under uncultured bacterium. RNAcentral's name for it is "partial 16S ribosomal RNA". It matches the Rfam family "Bacterial small subunit ribosomal RNA", at positions 355 to 774 of the family's 1533-position model. The record is from RNAcentral.